Molecule: ribosomal RNA, 252 nt
Filed under: uncultured bacterium
Lineage: Bacteria
Description: partial 16S ribosomal RNA
Rfam family: Bacterial small subunit ribosomal RNA
Source: RNAcentral
UACGAGGGGGCAAGCGUUGUCCGGAUUUAUUGGGCGUAAAGAGCGUGUAGGCGGCUAUACAGGUCCGCUGUGAAAACUCGAGGCUCAACCUCGAGACGUCGGUGGAAACCGUAUGGCUAGAGUCCGGAAGAGGAGAGUGGAAUUCCUGGUGUAGCGGUGAAAUGCGUAGAUAUUGGGAGGAACACCAGUGGCGAAGGCGGCUCACUGGACCGGUACUGACGCUGAGGCGCGAAAGCGUGGGGAGCAAACGGG